CCUACGGGGGGCAGCAGUGAGGAAUAUUGGUCAAUGGACGAGAGUCUGAACCAGCCAAGUAGCGUGAAGGAUGACUGCCCUAUGGGUUGUAAACUUCUUUUAUAAAGGAAUAAUACGAUGCACGUGUGCCUUUUUGCAUGUACUUUAUGAAUAAGGAUCGGCUAACUCCGUGCCAGCAGCCGCGGUAAUACGGAGGAUCCGAGCGUUAUCCGGAUUUAUUGGGUUUAAAGGGAGCGUAGAUGGGUUUUUAAGUCAGUUGUGAAAUUUUGCGGCUCAACCGUAAAAAUGCAAUUGAUACUGGCAGUCGUGAGUACAGUUGAGGUAGGCGGAAUUCGUGGUGUAGCGGUGAAAUGCUUAGAUAUCACACAGAACACCGAUUGCGAAGGCAUCUCACGAGUCCGCGAUUGACGCUGAUGCACGAAAGCGUGGGUAUCAAACAGGAUUAGAUACCCGGGUAGUC
Molecule: ribosomal RNA, 460 nt
Filed under: uncultured bacterium
Lineage: Bacteria
Description: partial 16S ribosomal RNA
Rfam family: Bacterial small subunit ribosomal RNA
Source: RNAcentral